CGAAGACUAAGGAACAAAGAAGUUCCCUUGGUCAAGGUGUUGUGGCAAAACCAAUCUGUUGAGGGUGCAACUUGGGAAGUUGAGGCCGAUAUGCUAUUCAAGUACCCACACCUAUUUUUUGUGAACUACAAUCAAGCCGAAGGUACCGUUCUUUCCUAAAUCAUGCACUUUUGAUAAAAGUUGCACCAGUUCAGCUGUCAUUUAUUAUGUG
This 211-nucleotide long non-coding RNA is filed under the name Capsicum annuum. RNAcentral describes it as "long non-coding RNA (CANN_LNC000805)". Lineage: Eukaryota; Viridiplantae; Streptophyta; Magnoliopsida; Solanales; Solanaceae. The record is from RNAcentral.